Molecule: long non-coding RNA, 2470 nt
Organism: Equus asinus (donkey)
Lineage: Eukaryota; Metazoa; Chordata; Mammalia; Perissodactyla; Equidae
Source: Ensembl
CUUUGUCACUGCUCCAUGCUCUGUGAUGCAGGCCUGGAACAUUCUAGAAUACAGCACACAUCUCAGUGCCCUGUUGUCUGAGGCAGUAGUGAGCUUCAGGCCUCAGAUGAUGGACACCUAUCUCCUUUCUGAGGAGAGUGAGUGAGCCACGGGUCAUCAAUUCCAUCAUUUACUUCCUGUGUGUGGCUAGGCUCCUCCUUCUGUCAUCCUUCUUCCAAAACGGAGCCAUUUGCUACCAGUCUUCAGAAUAAAGGAGACAUCAACCAGAUUAGGGCCUGUAGUGUAUCUUUCCUUGGAACCCAGGAUGAGAUACAGGCCCUCGCCCUGACUGAAAUUCAACACCUGAAAUGAUACUGGUUGCGGAAGCAGCUGGGACGUUUGUGGGUCACCCUCUGUUGUCCAAAGAUCUCAGGAAGCCUUAAUCCUCUGGCUCGCAACUAUUGCCCAUCCAGCCUGGGCUCCCAGGCCUAUGUGGCUGGUCUCCAUCCUUUCAGAAAGAUUUCUUUUCAGCAACAAGAUCCAAAAGCAACUGGAGCACCGGAGUUCAGAGGGGACUCAUCCACCUCCAGUGGAUCUUGACCCUCAGAAUAUCAGUCUCUAGCACAGACACAGCCUCCAAGAAAAUAACCAGGAUUUCUUAGCCAAAGGGCAAACAUAGACUCUCACCCCACUCGGAGUUUAAAGGCCAAAAGGACAAGGUCCUAAGGAAGGAAUGAGUGGAGCUCCCAGAAAACUUCCUGUGAAGGGCUCAACCCAGCCCAGCUAGGAAAGGACCUGGGGGGGGCCUAAGAGAGAAGCUAUAAUGGAGUUUGUAAAGCUACCCAGUAAGGGGUCCAGGGUCCGACUGAAGAGGAGGCUAAAAGUGAUCUGGUUGACCAAGGAGCAAAUGACUUAUUAAAGGUUCCAAGGGAGACCACACAACUGAAAAAUGCCCUAAAGGUACACAUGGGCAAGAAGUUGGGGCAGACCAAUCAGGAUCUUGUCUGAGUCAGUUGUGAAUGGUCCUUGGCUCACUGCCUACUCUACACUGCCCCCUCCUGGGGAGUUCCAUAUAGCUUAGAAACCAGAAAUUGGGUCCCCUUCUUAGGUUAGGAACCUCAUAAAUCACUCUUAGAUUUUCUUCCCUGUUCAGGAGUUCAGUAGGUCCUAGCUGUUCUUAGUUUAUGGUUUUAUAUGUGGCAGAAGUCAGAUGUGCCUCUCAGGGUCCUUGAAUCCAUUAAAGCAUUUAAGUUGAGAGAUGUCCAAUCCUAGCCUCUUCCCUUGUCUGCCUUUCCCCCCUCAAGCACCCAUGUUUCAAGGUAGGACUCAUAGCCAAAGUUACCAAGCAGUCCUGGGAAACAAGGUCAUCACCCUCAGUAGUCCUCUCUCUGCCCUAGUGCCUCUGAGUGUGGAAGUCCAGAAGACCCUGAGAUAGUCCCCCUCCGAUAUUGAUCAUGGGCUCACACAGGGCCUUCAGACUGGAGAAGAUGGCAGACACACUUUUCAGCCCCUCACACUCAGCAUUGUGGACACAAUGUGGCACAGUGGUGCUGCAGUUGGGGCUAAUGGAUGCAGCCCAGAGCCAACUUACAGGUGAAGCAAUGGCAGAAAAUGAGCCAAGGGAUAUGGUGAUCAAACCAUCCCAGCUUGCCUGGGAGUGAGGGGUUCCCUGGGACACAGGACUUUCUGUUCUGAAGUCAGGAAAGUCCCAGGCAAACUAGGAUGAGUUGGUCAUCCUACCAAUGGAUGAGAGUGGGCGUUGUGCCCUAAGAGGCUCCAGCCAUAGAAUAACAAUGCCCCUGAUGCAGAGAACAGAGGGAAGAGGAGGUCCUGAGGGAAGAGAAGGUCUAGAAGGGAGAAGCUCACCAAAGAAAUAGAUCAUCUUCUCUAAGGUGAAUUUCCAUUUUAAAAAAAGGAUACUAGAAAUUAAUUUAGGAAUCUCUUAAAGAGUUGAAGAUUGCAGGGAAAUAGGUAAGGUUGAAGAGUCCCCAGCUCCUAAGCUAAAAUCAGGAGACCACCUCGGAAACAGUGAACUGAGAGACUCGCAAAGUUCAAUGGAGAUCAGGGUAGGCUAAGGUCUCCUGUGUCCUUAAAGAGCAGAUUUCUGGUCAAGUAAAGCUUGAAAGAGCCAGUGGGCCAGCCUUGGAAAAGACUCCCACCUGAGUACAGAGACAUUCCUGUGUGAUACUCAUUGCUGCACUGCUUGGACUCAAAUAAUGACAGUAGGGGAAUUGUCAAAUGGUUACUAAAACUAUGUCAUAUCCACUAUUUUAAAAAGGUCAAUCUAUACGAAUUGACAUGGAAAGAUUUGCAGGACAUGGUAGGUAAAAAAUUCAAACUGUACAAUGAUGCUGUUGACAUAACUGUGUUAUUUUGAAACAAAUGUAAGACAAACAUAAAUAUAAAUUCUGAUAGAUUACAGCCCAAACUCUUGACAGAGUUUACAAAGGGACUGGAAGUGGGGAGUGACUCCCAAUGGCAUUCCCCAGUG